GGAGGGAUGCUGGAGUGGUCGAACAGGCACGCCUGGAAAGCGUGUAAGGGGGAAACUCCUUCGAGGGUUCGAAUCCCUCUCCCUCCGCCA
This 90-nucleotide transfer RNA is filed under the name Bacillota bacterium. Its description in RNAcentral is "Firmicutes bacterium (anaerobic digester metagenome) tRNA-Ser". It matches the Rfam family "tRNA". From Rfam's summary of the family: Transfer RNA (tRNA) molecules are approximately 80 nucleotides in length. Their secondary structure includes four short double-helical elements and three loops (D, anti-codon, and T loops). Further hydrogen bonds mediate the characteristic L-shaped molecular structure. tRNAs have two regions of fundamental functional importance: the anti-codon, which is responsible for specific mRNA codon recognition, and the 3' end, to which the tRNAs corresponding amino acid is attached (by aminoacyl-tRNA synthetases). tRNAs cope with the degeneracy of the genetic code in two manners: having more than one tRNA (with a specific anti-codon) for a particular amino acid; and 'wobble' base-pairing, i.e. permitting non-standard base-pairing at the 3rd anti-codon position. RNAcentral also lists the same sequence under 1 other name. Lineage: Bacteria; Bacillati; Bacillota. The record is from RNAcentral.